Molecule: RNA transcript, 1865 nt
Organism: Capsicum annuum
Lineage: Eukaryota; Viridiplantae; Streptophyta; Magnoliopsida; Solanales; Solanaceae
Gene name: putative F-box/LRR-repeat protein 9
Exons: 4
Source: RefSeq, a predicted model, not a curated record
AAAUUCUAAAACAUUUCGUACCAAACACACAUAUUUUUCCCGUUCUUCCUUGAGCUGCACUAAUACAAAACUAGUCCCGAAAAAACGAAGGCGUCAAAACCCUAAAUCAGCAAAGAAAAAAAUGCCUAAGCCAAAACGGUAUGUAUGGAGAAUCAAGCAGAAAAAGCAGACAGCUUCAUCAUCAUCCGCACCGCCACCUCCACCUCCACCGCCGUGGGUGGAGCUCCCUCGAGAAAUAACGGCGGACAUCCUUAGCCGGCUGGGUACAGUAGAGAUAUUGCUAAAUGCACAGAGAGUUUGUAGUACUUGGUGUAAUAUUUGCCAUGACCCUAGCAUGUGGCGAGUCAUCGACAUGCGCAACGACGAAGAUACGUACAUGGAAGAUGUCUUCGACAAGUUGUGCCGCAUCGCUGUUGAUCGUAGCCAGGGCCAGUUGUUAAAGAUCAACAUCGAGUAUUUUGGUAAUCACGAUCUGCUUCAGUACAUAACACAGAGAUCAAGUCAGCUAAGGCAUCUACGACUUGUCAGCUGUGAUGAUAUUUCAAAUGGAAGUUUGGCUGCAGUUGCUAAGAACUUCCCGUUGUUGGAGGAGUUGCACAUUUACUUAACUGCUAUUUGUACUGUGGAUAUAGAAGCCGUUGGUCGUUCUUGCUCUCAGCUGAAGUCAUUUACAUUUAACGACUGUGGAUUUAGAGGAUUGACAAGAUUUAGAAGUUUACAUAUCGAUGUCAAUGAUCAAGCUCUGGCUAUUGCAGUAAAUAUGCCUGAAUUGCGACACCUUGCACUUUUUGGGAAUACCAUGACAAAUGAAGGUCUGUGUGCUAUUCUUGAUGGCUGCCCGCGGCUUGAAUCACUUGACUUGCGACACUGCUAUAGUAUUGAUCUUAAAGGAGAUCUUGAAACGAGAUGUCACCAACAUAUUAUAGAUCUGAAGUGCCCCCAUGAUUGCACUCAUGGUUAUGAAUUUAGUGCUCAAAUUUGUGAUUAUAACUCUGGCGAUGAUCAGUCUGUCUGGUUCUCAGACUAUUUCAAUGAUUUUGAGUAUGACUAUGAUGACUUUGAUUAUGACGACUUCACUAACCCUUUUAACGGCGAGUAUCUGGAUGAGGAUGGUUUCUUUUGGUGAGGUCGUUUGCUACCUUAAAUUUGUUAAUGGUUCUUGGUUGCUGGGUGAACUGCGAGUCGUCCAAAUUUGCUGUUUCCAUUUCAGUUGAAGUGGUUAGAGUGUGCACUUCGCUGGUGGCGGAUGUUUAAUCAUAGUUACUAAAGCAGGCCUUAAUCCUCUUCCCUUAGCACUUUACUGCACCAGGGACUUUUAGUAACUACUGUAUUCUCCCCUUCUGCUUUGGUUCAUGACUCCUUCACUUUAGUCAAAUUUGGCCGUGCAACUAUUAUGUGUAGUGAAACCGGAGAGAUUCUUAAUGGCUCGUUGGCUUUCAUCAUGACAACAAGCAGUAGUUUUUUUGAAUGUUUCUUCUUAAUUCUGUUUACCAAGGGAACAUCAAUGUAUUUAAAAUGUAGCUGUAGUUUAAUAUCUUUCUUUUUGUUCAAAGUUAACAGCUUUCAUUUGCACUAUGUAAAAGGGCUACUUGUUGCUUCAUAGCCCUUUUAACGAUAAUGCUCAGACUCUCCAAAAUUUGCUGCACUCGUGACCGAUCCUCCAAAAUACACUCCUAUUGAAGGAUCCGGCACACACCCAAUGGCAUGUUUGAAGAGUCUGAAUGAUAAUGUGUCUAAAAUUUUACUGUUAGAUCUGUCCUUCCUCUGCCAGCUUGAUCACUAAGGAUUGCUAUUUUCAUGUAAUGGCUCACAAUCCUCAUGUUUAGACAAUUUGAUUGGAAAAAAAUAGUGUGAGUUAUUCUUAA